AUGUCGAUAUUGCCCUCGGACCUCCAAUAUAUAAGGGCCCUCACUCUAGCUGAAUGGCAGAGCCACCAACCCACCACACACCACAGGAGUUCUCUUCUCCCGUACGAUUGUGAGGCCAAGGAGAUGGAGGCGAAGAAGAGAGCGGCCGCUGUUGCCACCCUGUGCAUGCUCCUCCUCCUCACGCUGCCAAAGCCAUCCCAUCAGCAGCUGUCCGAAGUCAAGUGCGAGUGCUACCGGAAGUGCUACCCUGGGUGCAACAACAGCACCCCUCCGUGGGUCUGCAAGGUGAUGUGCGCCUGUAGCUGCCCCUUCUUCGACGACAUCUCCGACCCCCUUCGCACCUGCUUGGACGCCUGCAACACGGACCCCAUCUGUGACCUGCCAGCGCCGUUGACCGAUCCUGAAGUUUGUGUAGACGAAUGCUACAAUGUGUGGGGCGCCCCUGGUCCCGAUCCCGACGAGGAACAUUGA
This 471-nucleotide ribosomal RNA is filed under the name Triticum aestivum (bread wheat). Its description in RNAcentral is "partial small subunit ribosomal RNA". Lineage: Eukaryota; Viridiplantae; Streptophyta; Magnoliopsida; Poales; Poaceae. The record is from RNAcentral.